AAGAUUUUAAGUUAAUUAAACUACUAACCUUCAAAGUUGGAAAUAAAUAUUCAUUUUAAAUCUUA
RNAcentral lists this transfer RNA (65 nucleotides) under Tanystylum sp. JZ-2022. RNAcentral describes it as "tRNA-Trp". The record is from RNAcentral. Lineage: Eukaryota; Metazoa; Arthropoda; Pycnogonida; Pantopoda; Tanystylidae.